AGAGUUUGAUCCUGGCUCAGCCUGAACGCUGGCGGCGUGGCUAAGACAUGCAAGUCGCACGGGGUAGCAAUACCCAGUGGCGAACGGGUGAGUAAUGAAUCGCUAAUGUACCCCGGACUCUGGGAUAGCUGCCCGAAAGGGCAGGUAAUACCAGAUGAGACCACGAUCAGGCAUCUGAUUGUGCUCAAAGGUCCGCCGGUCUGGGAGCAGGCGAUUUCGUAUCAGCUAGUUGGUGAGGUAACGGCUCACCAAGGCGACGACGCGUAGCCGGACUGAGAGGUUGGCCGGCCACAUUGGGACUGAGACACUGCCCAGACUCCUACGGGGGGCUGCAGUAACGAAUCUUCCGCAAUGCACGAAAGUGUGACGGAGCGACGCCGCGUGUAGGACGAAGCCCUUCGGGGUGUAAACUACUGUCAGGGGUUAGAAAGUUCUGAUCAACCCCAGAGGAAGGCACGGCUAACUCUGUGCCAGCAGCCGCGGUAAGACAGAGGUGCCAAGCGUUAGGCGGAAUCACUGGGCUUAAAGCGUGUGUAGGCGGAUUUGUAAGUACCUUGUGAAAUCCCACGGCUCAACCGUGGAACUGCUCGGUAUACUGCUUAUCUUGAGCCACUUAGGGGCUACCGGAACAAAUGGUGGAGCGGUGAAAUGCGUAGAUAUCAUUUGGAACGCCAAUGGUGAAAACAGGUAGCUGGGAGUGUGCUGACGCUGAGACACGAAAGCCAGGGGAGCGAACGGGAUUAGAUACCCCAGUAGUCC
RNAcentral lists this ribosomal RNA (759 nucleotides) under uncultured Planctomycetaceae bacterium. RNAcentral's name for it is "bacterial SSU rRNA". It matches the Rfam family "Bacterial small subunit ribosomal RNA", at positions 8 to 796 of the family's 1533-position model. The record is from RNAcentral. Lineage: Bacteria; Pseudomonadati; Planctomycetota; Planctomycetia; Planctomycetales; Planctomycetaceae.